GCUUUUAGCUCAGUGGUUAGAGUGUUCGUCUCCCAUGCCAGUGUGUGUGUGUGUGUCAAGGUGGUGGGUUCGAGGCCCGUGAGCG
Molecule: transfer RNA, 85 nt
Filed under: Alosa alosa (allis shad)
Lineage: Eukaryota; Metazoa; Chordata; Actinopteri; Clupeiformes; Clupeidae
Description: tRNA-OTHER
Source: RNAcentral